Molecule: long non-coding RNA, 2370 nt
Organism: Setaria italica (foxtail millet)
Lineage: Eukaryota; Viridiplantae; Streptophyta; Magnoliopsida; Poales; Poaceae
Exons: 2
Source: RefSeq, a predicted model, not a curated record
GAAUCGACACCGGCAUCAUCUCCUCCACGCGAAUCGACGAUCCGCAGGUCCCAUGAGCUCCUCUCCCAUGGCGAUGGAUGGUGAGCUCCUCUGCUCUACUCACCCCGCGACCCUCUCUACUCCCACCAUCCUCUGCUCCACUCCCUCGCCAUCCUCCUCUCCCCUCCUCUGGGCUGGCAAAGCUCGCGCACGCCGGGGCUAGGCUAGCGGAGCCUCGCUCGUGCGGCGGAGCACUCCCGCACCGGGGCUGAGGUGGUGGCGCUCGCCCACGGACGUCGAAUCGAGCGCGGGGACAUCGGAAUCGAGGCAUCGAGCUUGAGGUGGAUUUCCAUGGAGGCGACGAGGAUGUCGGUGGCGCAGUGGCGGAGGGUACGGAAGUGAAGCGGAAAGCUCCGGUCGAUAGCAGUUGGCCUUCCGCCACACGCCACACUGGGGGUGAACGCCGCCGCCAGGGAGCAAGGUCACCGGCUAGCACGGCAGUCGGGAUCCGGGCUCUCCGCCGUCGCGUCCUUCACCGUGCCCCCCCUCCCCCCGGCACCGUACAAACUAGAGGUGCAGGUGGUCACCCAGGUAUGCCUCCUGCAGCCGCAAAGUGUUUACCCGCCUCACGUUGUUGAUCAAGCACAAUUGUUGGUAGCGAAAGGGUUGCAUCUACUGAACCUCGCAAUUGUUGGUAGCAAAAGGGUUGCAUCUGCUGAACCUCAGUUCAUUGUCCACCGUUUUUGCAGGUUCAUGCUUGACAUUCAGUUGGUUGGGCCAACAAAUUCUUGACAUUCAGUUGGUUGGGCCAACAGAUUCACUUCCGGUAACUCCUGCAUUCCUUAAUGUAGAGCCCUUACUCUUGUGUGGCUUCCUGAACAUGCUUUACUCCUGCAUUGCCUGUGAUUAUGAACAUUGUGUUGUAAUGCUUGGGUGUUCUGUGCAUUAGCAUUGCAAAUUUUUAGCUUCCUGUUGCUACUUAGGUACACAUGCUCCAUUUUUGUACUGUGAUGUUGAACUACUAAAAAUUUGGCAUACAUGUAUGACCUCAUAACUGGGUUACCAUGACAAACAGACAUACAUGACAUGUUUGCUCAUACUACAAACCAUGAGCAUCUAAUCUCUGUUUACCUGGUUCUGUCCAUGGUCAUGAUGUUAUCACUUGUGUGCAUUGUGCUUCCAGCAUGCUCUUCAGCUUAAAUGUGCAAACUUUUCUACAACACAGUCAACUAAAGUGAUGUGCCUGUUUUUGUUUGUCACCUUUCCAGGCGUCUGCUACAAGCCUAGUAGCAGCCCAACCGCUACGAACUAGCAACGGUGCCCACACUGGCAUCGUCAUCCACUUCGUCGUGCUCUCCCCCACCGGUCUGUCCGUACAAUUUCCACCACAAAUGUGCCAAGACAUUUGCUAAAGCAAGUAACAUAUCCAUUACUGCUGAGAUUGUGUACUUGUAUGCCUCCUGGUUAUCCGUACUUCGGUGCAAUAUAAUUGCAGCUGCUGUGUAUUCAAAUGGCUUGUAACCGUGCCAACUAGGACGAGGCCACGACGAAAAUAUUGCUGGACUUGUGCAUUGCUCAGAAGAACCAAUUCAAUUGGAGCAACAUGUGCCUCACUAAGUUGGGAUGGCAGCACGUGUACCGCAGCUUCAAACAACAGACUGGUCUGAAUUUGGGCAGCAAGCAGCUGCAGAACAAGUUGAACGCCUUGCGGAGAGCAUUCCAGAGCUGGAAGGACUUGCAAUCCCAAUCUGAUUUAGGUCGUGACAAACAAACUGGUGGCGUUGCUGCUGAUUCCAGCUUUUAGGAUGACGAUGAAGGGUACUGGUGCUGCCCAGCCGAGUUCUGUUAAGCCACCCCCGUUCCUCGAUGAAUUGUACACGUUGUAUGGCCGUGACACCCAAGACAGGGGCACCUUGCUGACGGCAGGAGGUAUUCGCGAGGUGACACCUAGCGUGGGGACUGAGGCUAGUAGUGCUCAUAACUUGUUCAAAAGGCUAUCCUGGGAAAUCUCUGUUGAUGGUCCUUCGAAAAGGAAAAGUGGCAGCUUGGAGGACUACGUCAGAGACCUUUCUAAAACUGUGGCAACGAGAAGCCAGAAACGUGUUAACCGUGAGGAAAUGGUCCGUGCAAUGCAACUUAUGGAAGAAGAUGGUCUACAGGAGAGGUCUCCGCUUUACUGCCAGGCACUUUAUUUAUGUACUAGGAACCCGGAUUAUCGGACGGCGUUCAUGCAGAUGAAAACGAAAGAGGGCCGACUGAAUUGGAUACAAUUCAACUGGGACAUGUUGAACAAGUAGAGUGAUUGUGGCAUGACUUUAUUUUAUUCUAGUGAUGUGUACUGAUGGGUUGAAACAAUAAUGUUUGCUUAUGUAACAUGUCCUGUUCCAUGAA